GGGGAAUUUUCCGCAAUGGGCGAAAGCCUGACGGAGCAAGACCGCGUGGGGGAAGAAGGCUCUUGGGUUGUCAACCCCUUUUCUCAGGGAAGAAGUUCUGACGGUACCUGAGGAAUAAGCAUCGGCUAACUCCGUGCCAGCAGCCGCGGUAAGACGGAGGAUGCAAGCGUUAUCCGGAAUUAUUGGGCGUAAAGCGUCCGUAGGUGGCUUUUCAAGUCGGCGGUCAAAGACCGGGGCUUAACUCCGGAAAGGCCGUGGAAACUGAAAGGCUAGAGAAAGGUAGGGGUAGGGGGAAUUCCCGGUGUAGCGGUGAAAUGCGUAGAGAUCGGGAAGAACACCGGUGGCGAAAGCGCCCUACUGGACCUUAUCUGACACUGAGGGACGAAAGCUAGGGGAGCGAAAGGGAUUAGAUACCCCAGUAGUCA
RNAcentral lists this ribosomal RNA (425 nucleotides) under uncultured cyanobacterium. RNAcentral's name for it is "bacterial SSU rRNA". It matches the Rfam family "Bacterial small subunit ribosomal RNA", at positions 356 to 796 of the family's 1533-position model. Lineage: Bacteria; Bacillati; Cyanobacteriota. The record is from RNAcentral.